This 192-nucleotide small RNA is filed under the name Nocardiopsis flavescens. Its description in RNAcentral is "Nocardiopsis sp. SA6 Actinobacteria sRNA Ms_IGR-5". It matches the Rfam family "Actinobacteria sRNA Ms_IGR-5". The record is from Rfam by way of RNAcentral. Lineage: Bacteria; Bacillati; Actinomycetota; Actinomycetes; Streptosporangiales; Nocardiopsidaceae.
ACGCAGGAAAGGAGGUGGUCCAGAAGAUGAAGUCUUUGAGGACUGGCGAGGUGGCCGUCCGCUAGGACGAGCUCGCGUUCGCGCGGCGCUCGUCCGCAGCGAAUCCCAACGGACACCCGGAUCCCGGGCCGCCGGAAAUGGUCCGACCGGCCCCGCCCACACCGGCGGGAAGCGGCCCGGGAUCCGUCUUUG